GAUCUCACAAAUUUAUAUAAUCACAAAUUGAUCUUUAAUUUAAUGCUUGGAAGUUGCCAUUCCCGUGCACCUUCCACAGCCCGGUUGCAGAAACAUGU
This 98-nucleotide small nucleolar RNA is filed under the name Sinocyclocheilus grahami. Its description in RNAcentral is "Small nucleolar RNA SNORA84 (ENSSGRG00000013623.1)". The record is from RNAcentral. Lineage: Eukaryota; Metazoa; Chordata; Actinopteri; Cypriniformes; Cyprinidae.